Molecule: ribosomal RNA, 232 nt
Filed under: uncultured bacterium
Lineage: Bacteria
Description: partial 16S ribosomal RNA
Rfam family: Bacterial small subunit ribosomal RNA
Source: RNAcentral
CGGACGGGUGAGUAAUGCUUGGGAAUAUGCCUUUAGGUGGGGGACAACAGUUGGAAACGACUGCUAAUACCGCAUAAUGUCUACGGACCAAAGUGGGGGACCUUCGGGCCUCAUGCCUAUAGAUUAGCCCAAGUGAGAUUAGCUAGUUGGUAAGGUAAUGGCUUACCAAGGCGACGAUCUCUAGCUGGUUUGAGAGGAUGAUCAGCCACACUGGGACUGAGACACGGCCCAG